Molecule: long non-coding RNA, 1070 nt
Organism: Rhineura floridana
Lineage: Eukaryota; Metazoa; Chordata; Lepidosauria; Squamata; Rhineuridae
Exons: 2
Source: RefSeq, a predicted model, not a curated record
AGAUCUUCAGAUAAUAGAAUAGUAAGAAUGAAGUGAAUAACAGUAAGAAAGAGACGUCACUAGGAGAAGUGAAGUGCCAUGCCAACAGCAGCUCAAGCCAAUGGAGACUUAUGCCGCACCUAUUGACGCUACAACUGAGACCUCAUGACCGGAACAUCUGAGGACCACAGACGCUGGAUGUCAGGUUCCUGCCUAUUUGAGUGGAGAGUCUAGAGUUCCUUUUACCUUUGAAGAAUUAUCACUAAUAGAUGCUUACUCAUCUCUUUCAUCGGCAGGACAAAUUGAAAUGUUGAAUAGACUGGAGAACUUAAAACUUCAUCUGGAAAGACUGCGAGUACAAGAGAAAUCUCCCCCUGUUCCCGCCUUGGUGGAUUCUAUGCUAAAUCCAAGGCUAUUUACAAAGAAGCCGUGUUCUCGGGGAAGGGUGAUAAAUGGCUUGGAUCUCCCACCUCCCUUGUUUAAUAGUGCCGGGAAUCAGUGUGUGGGCGGAUCAAUACCAGUUAUUAGUGUGCAAAGAAGGGGGAUGGAAGAUUCCCCCAUUAGCACAAAUGAGAAUUCUUCUUCCGAUCUUUUGGAUGCUUAUAAUUUAGCCAGAUAUGCGAAACCAACAUCGCCUGAUCUUUGGACUAGGAUGAGGUUUUUGGAACCUGAGGAGCUGGGGCUUCCCGAUAACCUUCUUGGGAACAGAGGUUUACAAAGCCCUCCAUCCCAGCUCCCUCUGGAACCACUUUGUGUUCCGGCUAAGUCCCAAAGUCAGCCCAGUAAGACAGUAGUAAAGGGGGAAAGCCUGCAGACCCUAAUAUCACCUCCCAUUCUUAAGUGCUGUAUCAGUACCUCUAUGGACUGUGAUUUAAUGUGUAUAGACUGACAAUUGUCAGCUCUACCCUGGAACAUCAUGGGCUGGGAGAGUAAGUUAUAUGAUGAGGAUUUUGUUCACUAUCUCUGUAAGUUUAAGAUCAUUUGUCUCCAGGAAACCUGGGUUGUAAAUCCGGCUAAAAUGUAUUUGCAUGGUUAUUGUGCUUUCUCCACCCCAGUGGUAAAACAAUCAUUAAAAGGUCGUGGUAGUGGAA